AGAGCGUAGGGAGGAUACCUAGGCACCAAGAGCCGAAGAAGGACGUGAUAAGCUGCGAAAAGCCAUGGUAAGGAGCAAAUAUCCUUUGACCCAUGGAUAUCCGAAUGAGGAAACUCAAAUCAGGUAAAAGCUGAUUUAUCCAUACAUGAGUAAAGUAGUGUAUAGGAAGGGAACGUAGGGAACUGAAACAUCUCAGUACCUAUAGGAAAAAAAAGAAAACUCGAUUCCUAAAGUAGUGGCGAGCGAAAUAGGAAGAGCCCAAACCCAAUCUGCUUGCAGAAUGGGGGUUUAGGACUGCAUAAUCCACUAAUUAAUUGAAGUAGAAUCGUCUGGGAAGGCGAACCAAAGAAGGUGAAAGUCCUGUAAAGGAGAGAGAUUAGGGAGGCAGGAUCCAGAGUAGUGCGAGACACGUGGAAUCUCGUAUGAAGAUGUGGGGCCCACCCCAUAAGGCUAAAUACUACUUGGUGACCAAUAGAGAUUAGUACCGUGAGGGAAAGGUGAAAAGAACCCCGGGAGGGGAGUGAAAUAGAACAUGAAACCCUAUGCUUACAAGCAGACAGAGCACGUUAAGGUGUGAUGUCGUACUUUUUGUAGAACGGUCCGGCGAGUUAUUGUAUAUGGCAAGGUUAAGCAUUGAGUAAGAUGUGGAGCCGAAGCGAGAGCGAGUCUGAAAAGGGCGAAUAAGUCAUAUAUAAUAGACCCGAAACCGAGUGACCUAACCAUGGUCAGGCUGAAGGUUGAGUAAAAUCAAUUGGAGGGCCGAACUCAUAGACGUUAAAAAGUCUCGGGAUGAACUGUGGUUAGCGGAGAAAUUCCAAUCGAACUCGGAGAUAGCUGGUUCUCCUCGAAAUAGCUUUAGGGCUAGCCUUGAGAAAAAAGAUAUGUGGGGGUAGAGCACUGAAGGUGCUAGGGGCCUCAACCAGGUUACUGAACACUAUCAAACUACGAAUACCAUAUAGAAAUCUCAGGAGUCAGACUGCGGGAGCUAAGUUCCGUGGUCAAAAGGGAAAGAGCCCAGAUCGUCAAUUAAGGUCCCAAAGAUAUAGCUAAGUGGGAAACGAUGUGAAAUUGCGUAAACAACCAGGAUGUUGGCUUAGAAGCAGCCAUACAUUUAAAGAGUGCGUAAUAGCUCACUGGUCGAGUGAAUUUGCGCGGAAAAUUACCGGGGCUAAGCUAUACACCGAAAUUGCGGAUACAGUACAUUUAACAGUGUAUGUUAAGUGGAGAAGCAAGAAGAAAGAAAAGAAGAAAAAAGUAAUUAACUAACAUAUAAUGUUAAGUGUACUGUGUGGUAGAGGAGCAUUCUAUAGUAGGAAGAAGUAUGAUCGAAAGGACAUAUGGACGAGAUAGAAGAGAGAAUGCCGGAAUAAGUAGCGAGAGCAAAGUGAGAAUCUUUGCCGUCGAAAGUCUAAGGUUUCCUGGGGAAGGUUCGUCCGCCCAGGGUAAGUCGGGACCUAAGGUGAGGCUGAAAAGCGUAGCCGAUGGACAGCAGGUAUAAAAUUCCUGCACUACCGAAUACUUAAAAGAUUCAGAUGACACAGUAGAGGAAGGGAAUCCAGGAAGAGGAAAAACUGGAGCCGAAAGGCAUAGUGAAAAUAUAAAGUAAUGAAGUCCCAAGAAUCACACUGGCGAGAAAAGUUUGAAGAUAUUGUAUAAGGUACCCGUACCGCAAACCGACACAGGUAGAUGAGGAGAGGAUCCUAAGACGAGCGAGAGAAGUAUUGUUAAGGAACUCGGCAAACUAACCCCGUAACUUAGGGAGAAGGGGUACCAUAGUAACAUAUGGUCGCAGAGAAGAGUCCCAAGCAACUGUUUAACAAAAACACAGGUUUCUGCUAAAUCGAAAGAUGAAGUAUAGGAGCUGACGCCUGCCCAGUGCUGGAAGGUUAAGGGGAAGGGUUAGGAGUAAUCCGAAGCCUAGAACUAAAGCCCCAGUGAACGGCGGCCGUAACUAUAACGGUCCUAAGGUAGCGAAAUUCCUUGUCAGGUAAGUUCUGACCCGCACGAAAGGCGUAAUGAUUUGGGAGCUGUCUCAACAAUAUACUCGGCGAAAUUGUAGUACUAGUGAAGAUGCUAGUUACCUGCGACAAGACAGAAAGACCCCAUGGAGCUUUACUGUAGCUUGAUAUUGGGUUUCGGUAAUUUAUGUACAGGAUAGGUGGGAGACUGAGAAGUUCUGGCGUCAGCUAGAAUGGAGUCACCCUUGGGAUACCACCCUUAAGUUAUUGAAAUUCUAACCUGUGAUCAUAAACUGGUCAGGGGACAAUGUCAGGCGGGCAGUUUGACUGGGGCGGUCGCCUCCUAAAGAGUAACGGAGGCGCCCAAAGGUUCCCUCAGCACGGACAGAAAUCGUGCGAAAGAGUGCAAAGGCAGAAGGGAGCUUAACUGAAAGACAGACAUGUCGAGCAGAUACGAAAGUAGGGCUUAGUGAUCCGGCGGUAGUGAGUGGAAAUGCCGUCGCUCAACGGACAAAAGUUACCCUGGGGAUAACAGGCUUAUCUCUCCCAAGAGUUCACAUCGACGGGGAGGUUUGGCACCUCGAUGUCGGCUCAUCGCAUCCUGGAGCGGAAGUACGUUCCAAGGGUUGGGCUGUUCGCCCAUUAAAGCGGUACGCGAGCUGGGUUCAGAACGUCGUGAGACAGUUCGGUCCUUAUCUGUCGCAGGCGCAGGAUAUUUGAAGGGAUCUGUCCUUAGUACGAGAGGACCAGGAUGGACGCACCAAUGGUACAACAGUUGUCAUACCAAUGGCAUAGCUGUGAAGCUAAGUGCGGAAGGGAUAAACGCUGAAAGCAUCUAAGUGUGAAGCCCACCCUAAGAUAAGAUAUCCCAUACCGUAAGGUAGU
This 2843-nucleotide ribosomal RNA is filed under the name metagenome. RNAcentral's name for it is "bacterial LSU rRNA". It matches the Rfam family "Bacterial large subunit ribosomal RNA". The record is from RNAcentral.